UGAGAUAGAGGUGCGCCUUAUCAUCAGUAGUAAUCCUGAUUCGCAGUGCAGUGCGAAGGAGAAGUGAAAGGGAUGGGCGCCGAAGGAAGGCAGGGCUGCAUCCGGCCGACCUGGGAGUACGUAAUAAGAUGCGUGCGACUGUCGCGUACACGCGGAGCGCUAUCC
Molecule: non-coding RNA, 165 nt
Filed under: bovine gut metagenome
Description: Lysine riboswitch
Rfam family: Lysine riboswitch aptamer
About the family: Riboswitches are metabolite binding domains within certain messenger RNAs that serve as precision sensors for their corresponding targets.
Source: RNAcentral